UUCCUUCUAAGAGGAAGGCAAGAGGGUCAAAGGCAGAAAAAGGAAAUGCGCUGACAAAAGGAGAACUUGCAGUGAUUUUCUUUGAAGAUCAAAGAAGAAGCCACAUGCCAAAUAAUGCAGGCAGCCACUGCAGCUAGAAAUGACAAAGAAUUGGAUUCCCCCUAAAGCUUUCAGAAUGAAUACAGCUUGAUUUUUGCUUAGUAAGACUCAUUUUGGAUUUCUGAUCUCCAGAGCCAUAAGGCUAAAAAUCUCAUAGAGAGAUUUUUUAAUCAACAAGUAGAAAUUCUUGGCAGACGUGCAGAACAAUUACCUCAAAUAUACUAUAUUGAAGGUACUCUCCAAAUGGUUUGGAUUAAUCGCUGCUUUCCAGGGUAUGGAAUGAAUGUCCAGCAACAUCCAAAAUGUCCUGAGUGCUGUGUAGUUGGGACUUCCACUAUGAUGCUGAAAGGAAAUGAAGAAAGGAGACAUCCUUAUUUUGUUCCUAAUCCUGGUGGGAAAGCUUCAAGUUUCUCAACGGACCUCCUGCAGAGCCCCUGUCCAUCUCCUUGUGCCUAAGCUACCACUCCUUCCAUAGUUCCAGGAGUACUUGGCUUAUAAGGAUGCCACAGGA
Molecule: small RNA, 610 nt
Filed under: Pan troglodytes (chimpanzee)
Lineage: Eukaryota; Metazoa; Chordata; Mammalia; Primates; Hominidae
Description: processed transcript
Source: RNAcentral